Pseudopipra pipra is the source of this 712-nucleotide long non-coding RNA. RefSeq lists it as uncharacterized. The record is from RefSeq and is a predicted model, not a curated record. The transcript has 2 exons. NCBI's taxonomy places the organism in Eukaryota, Metazoa, Chordata, Aves, Passeriformes, Pipridae.
GGGCGGUGUUACUGAGGUCCCGGUUGCGAUCCCGGUCUCGCUCCCGCCGCCGCCCUUGCCGGCUGCGGUGGAGGCGCCUCGCCGUCUCAUUGCGCACACCGGGAGGCUCCCCCCGGUGCUGCCCAUCCCCUGGCUCGCCCUGCGGCCAGGCCGGGAGCUGCGCCCAGGGCUGUCCAUCAUCGUCACCCGCGGGGACGGGAUGGAGCUGACCCCCCGCCCAUCCUCUGUUUGUGGAGUUCUUCAGAACUAACUUAGGCCGUCACAGCAGGAAGUGGAACAUUGCUGUUUCUGUUUUACUAGUUGUUGUUUUGCAUGAUCCAAGCAUAUGUUUAUCCUAAAAUACUUCUCUUAAUGCCAUAUGCCACAAAGAUUGCAAGAACAUCAAGUUUAAGCAAUGGACAUGUGUUCGGCUGUAAACAUGGACAUAUUGACUAUCUGUGCUGAUGUAAAAACACAGCGAGAUAAAACUGAUUUCAAACCAUAAUAUUCAGUUUCUUAAGCCUGUUCCAAAAAACCCAGUUGAAGGUCAGAAGAUAGAAAGCAGCGUAAGCUUAUGAAUGCCAGCACACUUCAUAGAGUGCAAGCUUGGUUUUGCAUGGAAAGAUCAGCGCACUGUAUUCAGUACAAAUAUGACUUCUACUCUGUAAUAAAGAAAAAUUAUCUCUGGAUGAAAAGCUACCUUUGCAAAAAAUAUAUUAUAGCUUUUAACUGC